GAUGAACGCUGGCGGCGUGCCUAAUACAUGCAAGUCGAGCGAACAGAUGAGGAGCUUGCUCCUCUGACGUUAGCGGCGGACGGGUGAGUAACACGUGGAUAACCUACCUAUAAGACUGGGAUAACUUCGGGAAACCGGAGCUAAUACCGGAUAAUAUAUUGAACCGCAUGGUUCAAUAGUGAAAGACGGCUUUGCUGUCACUUAUAGAUGGUUCCGCGCCGCAUUAGCUAGUUGGUAAGGUAACGGCUUACCAAGGCGACGAUGCGUAGCCGACCUGAGAGGGUGAUCAGCCACACUGGAACUGAGACACGGUCCAGACUCCUAUGGGAGGCAGCAGUAGGGAAUCUUGCGCAAUGGGCGAAAGCCUGACGGAGCAACGCCGCGUGAGUGAUGAAGGUCUUCGGAUCGUAAAACUCUGUUAUUAGGGAAGAACAAAUGUGUAAGUAACUAUGCACGUCUUGACGGUACCUAAUCAGAAAGCCACGGCUAACUACGUG
This 497-nucleotide ribosomal RNA is filed under the name uncultured bacterium. Its description in RNAcentral is "partial 16S ribosomal RNA". It matches the Rfam family "Bacterial small subunit ribosomal RNA", at positions 28 to 507 of the family's 1533-position model. The record is from RNAcentral.